Molecule: non-coding RNA, 1433 nt
Organism: Zootermopsis nevadensis
Lineage: Eukaryota; Metazoa; Arthropoda; Insecta; Blattodea; Termopsidae
Source: RefSeq, a predicted model, not a curated record
CUGCAUUGAUCAUAUACGUUCAUAAGAUUGCAGACACCGCCUAGGAAAGGUAGUUAGCAAGUGGAAGUUCUGUGUGAAUCCCGCUAUGUAGUACAAGUGAAAUAAUUGAUUAUGUUUGAAAAAUGACGUGUAUUAUCGGUAUGCAGAUUCGUAGCAGUGGGGCUGUCAGAACAACAUCAACUGGAAACCAUUGGCAUCUGACCCCUAGAUAUCGAAAUACAGAAAAGCGUGCAGACAUCGAUUUGGAUGGUCGGGUGAGGAUGGAUUAUGCACGGAGUGAGCGUGGCUGCUUGUGUCACCAAUGUGCCACCUCGUGAGUUUGAUGUUACCUUGCGUCAGUAUUAUAAAGUAUAUGAAAUAAAAAGUACGUGUUUAAUGUACUUAACAGUGGCAUGAUGUUCAUACAAACUUUCAGCUAAUUCCACCCAUCUGUUCUCUUGGUAUGAAAUUUGAGUAUUUAAACGACAAUUAUGAAUGGGAGAGAUUACCACGGUUUUAGGUUAAGUUGAGUUGAGUUAGGUUAUAUUAGGUUAGAUUAGUGACGCCUCUGCCCAGAGGGUGAUGGAUAGUGGCGUCCGGUUCUCAGAGGGCUGUUACGCCACGGAUUAUUACACGAGCGAGCCGUGUGUUUGUCAUUGCCCUUUGUGGGACUUAUAUAAUUACAUCAUUCCAAAUCUCAUAUGUCGCAUAAAUAUUUUAAACUGUGGCGUAAUAUGUCUACCAAAUGUUAUUAAACCUCUGACAAGUGUAAUCUCGAUAGUGGAUACGUUCAGGCAUAUGUAAUUGUUGAAGGACAUAAGUUGCUUACUGUAGUUUAGCGUGUAUGUAGUCGAGCCCUUUACGUCACACACCAAAAGGUUAUUCGAAUAAUUAAGAAUUAUUUUAUUGUACACAGUUGAUUUAGAAAUGGCAGCGGCAUCAUUAAUCAUAUAUACAGGUGUCCAAGAAAGAAUGCACACAUUUUACAAAUUUUUAUUUAGAAAAUAAACAGAGCUAGGAUAGUACAAUUUUAACCACAUGAAACAGCAACUCAGGCAUUAUUUUCCGCACACAACGUUUUCUGCAAGAUGGAUUAGAAGAGGUGGACCAGUUGCAUGGCCUGCAAGAUCGCCGGAUUUAACGCCUAUGGAUUUCUUCCUUUAGGGGUACACAAAGGAUCAGGUGUACCGCACACGAGUAAUUUGUUUGUAAGAUUUGAAAAACCGCAUCGUUCAUUCUGUGGAAGGAAUCACGCCUCAAAUAUGUGGCAACGUUUUCCGGGCUUUUGAAUACCGGAUGGACAUUGUGCGAACAACAAAGGGAGCUCAGAUCGAAGUACAAUGAAGUGGAGAACGGUGGAGGGGAAAUAUACUUUCUGAGUUGCUAUUUCGUGUGGUGAAAACUGUACUCUCCUAGCUCUGUUUAUUUACUAAAUAAAAAUUGUUUAAAAUGUG